Molecule: ribosomal RNA, 1473 nt
Filed under: metagenome
Description: bacterial LSU rRNA
Rfam family: Bacterial large subunit ribosomal RNA
Source: RNAcentral
AAUUCCGAUACUGUGUAUUGCUGCGAUGGGGGGACGGAGAAGGCUAGGCCAGCCUGCGAUUGGUAGUGCAGGUUUAAAGUGGUAGGCAGGCGAUCCAGGUAAAUCCGGAUGGUCAAUGCUGAGGACUGAUGACGAGUCUCUAAGGAGAUGGAGUGGUUGACGCCAGGCUUCCAGGAAAAGCCUCUAAGCUUCAGGCAAUACGUAACCGUACCCCAAACCGACACAGGUGGUCAGGUAGAGCAUACCAAGGCGCUUGAGAGAACUCGGGUGAGGGAACUAGGCAAAAUGGUGCCGUAACUUCGGGAGAAGGCACGCCAGCCAGGGUGAAGGACUUGCUCCAUAAGCCCCGGCUGGUCGAAGAUACCAGGCCCCUGCGACUGUUUAUUAAAAACACAGCACUCUGCAAACACGAAAGUGGACGUAUAGGGUGUGACGCCUGCCCGGUGCUGGAAGGUUAAUUGAUGGGGUUAGCGUAAGCGAAGCUCUUGAUCGAAGCCCCAGUAAACGGCGGCCGUAACGAUAACGGUCCUAAGGUAGCGAAAUUCCUUGUCGGGUAAGUUCCGACCUGCACGAAUGGCGUAACGAUGGGGGCGCUGUCUCCACCCGAGACUCAGUGAAAUUGAAAUCGCCGUGAAGAUGCGGUGUAUCCGCGGCUAGACGGAAAGACCCCGUGAACCUUUACUAUAGCUUCACAGUGAACUUUGAACCUGCUUGUGUAGGAUAGGUGGGAGGCUUUGAAGCGUGGACGCCAGUCCGCGUGGAGCCAUCCUUGAAAUACCACCCUGGCAUGUUUGAGGUUCUAACUCUGGUGUGACAUCACCGAGGACACUGUGUGGUGGGUAGUUUGACUGGGGCGGUCUCCUCCCAAAGAGUAACGGAGGAGCACGAAGGUGCGCUAAUCACGGUCGGACAUCGUGAGGUUAGUGUAAUGGCACAAGCGCGCUUAACUGCGAGACGGACAGGUCGAGCAGGUACGAAAGUAGGUCAUAGUGAUCCGGUGGUUCUGUAUGGAAGGGCCAUCGCUCAACGGAUAAAAGGUACUCCGGGAAUAACAGGCUGAUACCGCCCAAGAGUUCACAUCGACGGCGGUGUUUGGCACCUCGAUGUCGGCUCAUCACAUCCUGGGGCUGAAGCCGGUCCCAAGGGUAUGGCUGUUCGCCAUUUAAAGUGGUACGCGAGCUGGGUUUAGAACGUCGUGAGACAGUUCGGUCCCUAUCUGCCGUGGACGUUGGAGAUUUGAGAAGAGUUGCCCUUAGUACGAGAGGACCGGGGUGAACGAACCGCUGGUGUUCGGGUUGUCAUGCCAAUGGCAUUGCCCGGUAGCUACGUUCGGACAGGAUAACCGCUGAAAGCAUCUAAGCGGGAAGCCUCCUUCAAGAUGAGAUCUCCCUGAUUCCUUGAGAAUCCUAAAGGGCCCUUGUAGACGACGAGGUUGAUAGGUUGGGUGUGUAAGCGCUGUGAGGCGUUGAGCUA